Long non-coding RNA from Oreochromis aureus, 1116 nucleotides. NCBI's taxonomy places the organism in Eukaryota, Metazoa, Chordata, Actinopteri, Cichliformes, Cichlidae. The record is from Ensembl.
GAAGAAACCCCCAAAAUAGAAAUUAAAUUUGAUGAGACCUCAUUAAAGGCAGCUUUCAAAGUUGUACUGCAGAUCAAACUUUAACCAGCCACUCCUCCUCUUCCAGUCUUCAUGGCGUCUAAUCGCCUCUGCCUCAGGCUAAAGAUGUCACCUUAAUCACAACGAGAUGAGUGACAGGUGCUUGUGCAGGAAAGUGGAAUUAACAGUAUUUCCUGCCUGGAGGUGAAAAGGUUGCUUUGAUCGACUUUUUUUUUUUUUUGGAAGGUGAUUAAGAGAGAAGAGAAGAUUAAUAACAGUCUUUUCUUUUUUAAACCUGAAAGAAUUACAUGGUCAACCAAGUUGCUUUACUUUUAAACUGCCACUGUCCUGGCGGGUCGCGAGCAUACUUUCGUGUCCUCUGGAAACCCUGGCUUUCACACCUGUUUCUCAUCAACUCAUCAAGCAUAUAACACUUGAAGACUGACUCAAAAUCUAUGGCCACAUGAUGAGUUUUAUGACAAGAACAGAAAUCCCUACGAAGUUCCUGUAAGCAAGCCACUUACCUGUUACCUCACCUGGUGGUCUGAAGAAAUUUACUUGGUGAUUUGCUUCCUAGUAUUAAUUCAGGGGACGUGUUUGGCUGUGAGCAGCAGAGUUGGGAACAGCAUCAGCAUCCAUUUAUCCACAUCAUUACCCACAUCUACCACUGCUGCCACAGACACACAGAGCUCAGUCUCCAAUCUCCAGUCCACAAGAUGACACUUUGACCUCUGGGAAGUGCUGCCAUGUGAUUACAGAAGAGCAGCAGAGGAGAGAUGCAAAGACACGGCGAACAGUUGUUGUUAAGGGCGACCUUGUGGAAGGAGCAGGAAUCAAAGCUGGACUCAAGUUUGAAGUUCGAAUGAUCAGGAGCUUGAUAUGGCACAAUGUCAAAAGGCACAAGGUUCAUUUUUUCCAUUUGUGAUUUCCCAGCAUGGACGAAUACCAAACUCCAAACUCAUUCAAACUCGGUUCUGCUCUGCUGCACUUUGACUACUCUACAGAUCUGGUAAGAUGCACGCAUUUACAUAAUAAUAGCACAUUUAGAUGGUGGAUGAACAGCAGCUGCAAACCUUUACAUUUCGAUGCCGAGUCAUU